GGGCUGAUGCCCAGAAUAGCUCAACUUUAAAUCAGCAAUGAAAACAGUGCAAAGGUAUAAAUCAGCAAUGAAAUACAAACCGACACAAACAACUCUCCGAAAACCAAAAUCCUUUCCCUCUGUCUCUUCAUCUUCUCUUUUUCUCUUCGUCUUCGUGAAUCGUAUCUACAAUCCCCUAAUCUGCUGAACACUAGUUCGUCAAAGCCCACUGAUGCCUGCGAUGCGAAUAAAUGUGCUGGUUUCAUUAUUGAAGGCGAGGCCUUGGUGUCAUCGUUGUCUUUGGGUGGAGCUGCCGUGGAUGCUGAUAAAUCAAAGGCAAUCGGCACUACACUACGUUUGAAGAAGCUCACGACGAAUAUUAAGUGGGAGAUAAGCUCUUAGAUGUGAAAUCUCGUUCACCAACUAGCAUAUCAUGGAUAACCCUGUAGUACCAGAGUUGAUCUCUCUAUACAUGCACAAGCAUCAAUUUGUGUAAGCCGAAAUAUGAGAUGGUGGGAGAAGAACCAUAAAGAAAAGAAGAAAAGAGAGUAAGAAG
Molecule: long non-coding RNA, 535 nt
Organism: Juglans regia (Persian walnut)
Lineage: Eukaryota; Viridiplantae; Streptophyta; Magnoliopsida; Fagales; Juglandaceae
Exons: 3
Source: RefSeq, a predicted model, not a curated record